Long non-coding RNA from Gymnodraco acuticeps, 1973 nucleotides. RefSeq lists it as uncharacterized. NCBI's taxonomy places the organism in Eukaryota, Metazoa, Chordata, Actinopteri, Perciformes, Bathydraconidae. The transcript is spliced from 2 exons. The record is from RefSeq and is a predicted model, not a curated record.
ACAACUAACCCGUUUGUCCACCAUUCUAUGUUUUAAUGACUGACUUUAAAGUUGACCGCCUCAACAAAAAGUAUUCCAGUUUCCAAAACAACCAGUAUCCACUAAAAUGCCAUGCCUUAUCAAAACCAGCCAUAUAUCACAAUCCGUCAGAACACUCUUCUAAACCAUAUGAACCAUCAUAUUGCAACGUUUUAUUCCUCUGAGUCACUCUUUUUUCUCACAAACACUGCUUUUCUCUUAAUUUUCUCUAUAGUGCUUUCAACCUCUCUCUCUCUCUCUCUUCCUUUCUCGCUCCUUGAGCUAGGGGCGGUCCCGCUACGUACUAUACUUUUAAAGAUAAGAAGAUGAUGUUGAACAGAACAUGCCAUGAUAUAAGACAGCAUCAGAGGGAUUGUGAGCCAGAAUGUGUGCUCAUAAAUUAGUGGUCUGCAUGUCAACGGGACAUAUCUUUUACUUAUCUUGUAGAGGGGCUGUAUGUCAGAGUAAGACCCAUAAUAUCCCCCAAAACAAGAUAUUAAGUUUAUCUUUGUCGUCCAUACUGUGUUGGUAUUUACCUGGAAAGCUGUGACGUAACAACCCCCAUCACCUCCUACUCACACUGCCUCAUAGUGAUAAGCAAAUACUGAAAAACCACAAUUGGACGAUAUAAUAAUAAUAAUGCAUUACAUUUUUUAUUAGAGCGCUUUUACAGGUGCUCAAAGCGCUUUACAAUUACACAUUUCACAUAUCAGACAUGUAAGAGUCAUUACUGUGGAGUGUGGACAUUACCCACAGGAGAAAAUGCGGGUAAAGUGUCUUGCCCAAGGACACAACGGCCUGACAUGAUAUGAUAUGAAAAUAGAAACUGUCACCGAACCCUAAAGUGUGCUUAAUUUUCUCGGGAAAUCAAUUUGGCCGCACAUAUCCUACCAAUAUAUGCACAGGUCAUGACCCAAAUAGUAGGAAUCCUCUGGGCAGCAUGGUGAUCUGCUAUAGAUUUUUAGAAGAGUAUUAUGUUAAAGGAGACAAUUUGGCAUACAGGUUGCAAAAGGUCAACGGUUAGGUUUGGUUCGGUUUCUUAUCACUAUUUAAAGAGGGUUGCAUGGAUUAAGUAGCAUCCCAAGGACUCGUUCGAAAAUAACCCAAUGACUUACCGAUUUUGUUUAAAAGAAUAUAUUCUCCAAAUAUUAACACUGCUUUUUAACAAAAAAGUGUUGGUGUUGUUGCAGUGUUUAAGGCUUUAUUCAGUUUGCAUUUUUUAGCAAGAUGAGCACCUAAGGGCAGUGGCACCAGCAGGGGAGGGGGGGCCUUGGCCACCCUGAUAUAUUUGUUGGCCCCCCCCACUGGCCACCCCACACACACAGUCACGUAUGCGUAGUAGUUUAUCUGAUAUUUAACAACAAAUACACAGCCAGCGAGUCGCUUGAUUUGAGCUUCCAACGCUCAUACUGCAGCCCCUCCCUCUCCCACUGCUACCAUGGUAACACUCUGAUACUCUCGCGCACCACUCUGAAAUUUGCGGGCACAGAUAGCAGCAGGUUGCAACAAAACAUGUGUUUCUUUCUACUGACUGGACUGGAGUUGACAAAAAUCCACCAGACUUCUAGAAGGUAAGUCGUAUACGUUCGUUGUUAAUGAAAAGGAGCUGUGAGGAAUUGCAGUAUCUCCUUCUCCUUUUUUCUGUUUGUCUGUCUUCCUGGCUGGGCGUGGUUGACCUACUUUCCGUUUCCCGCCAACUCACCUCCGCUCCUGUUUCUCAUCAUCACUGAUUACCACUACUCACCUGCUGCUGCUUAAAACUCCGGUUCGAUCAUCAGACUUCGCCAGUUCUUCGUAUACUCAUAGUGAAACUCCAUAUUCCAUUCCGUCCUGCCACGUCCAGCCCAACCUCCGUCUCAGCCCUGCUCCACGUUCUUCCCACUCUCUUGAGAGUUUACUUUGUCUCCUGCCUGUUUUUUGAGGACUUAAAUAAAUCCAGUCUUUUUGACACUUCA